AGUGGCGCACGGGUGCGUAACACGUGGCUCAUCUGCCCCAAAGACGGGGAUAACCGGCGGAAACGUUGGCUAAUACCCGAUAAGCUCACAGGCUGUAGAGGCUAGUGAGAAAAGCUGCGACGCUUUGGGAUGAGGCUGCGGUCCAUCAGCUAGAUGGUGAGGUAACGGCUGACCAUGGCGACGACGGAUAGGGGACCUGAGAGGGUGAACCCCCACACUGGCACUGAGACACGGGUCAGACUCCUACGGGAGGCAGCAGUGAGGAAUAUUGCGCAAUGGGCGAAAGCCUGACGCAGCGACGCCGCGUGGACGAUGAAGGCCUUCGGGUCGUAAAGUCCUUUUCUGCGUGACGAGACAAGGACGGUAGCGCAGGAAUAAGUCUCGGCUAACUACGUGCCAGCAGCCGCGGUAAAACGUAGGAGGCAAGCGUUAUCCGGAGUUACUGGGCGUAAAGCGCGUGUAGGCGGUUGAGCAGGUCAGAUGUGAAAGCUCCCAGGCUAAACCGGGAGAGGUCAUUUGAAACCGCUCGGCUAGAGGACGGCAGAGGGGCAUGGAAUUCCGGGUGUAGUGGUGAAAUGCGUAGAGAUCCGGAGGAACACCAGUGGCGAAGGCGGUGCCCUGGGCCGACCCUGACGCUGAGACGCGAAAGCAUGGGGAGCGAACGGGAUUAGAAACCCCGGUAGUCCAUGCCGUAAACGAUGCACACUAGGUGUUC
Molecule: ribosomal RNA, 715 nt
Filed under: uncultured Anaerolineaceae bacterium
Lineage: Bacteria; Bacillati; Chloroflexota; Anaerolineae; Anaerolineales; Anaerolineaceae
Description: bacterial SSU rRNA
Rfam family: Bacterial small subunit ribosomal RNA
Source: RNAcentral